This is a non-coding RNA of Schistosoma mansoni, 43 nucleotides long. The record is from Rfam. NCBI's taxonomy places the organism in Eukaryota, Metazoa, Platyhelminthes, Trematoda, Strigeidida, Schistosomatidae.
AUCGAGGACGAGUCCCAAAUAAGACGAAACACGUGUCUUGGAU